GCCGGUUUAGCUCAGUCGGUAGAGCACCUGAUUUGUAACCAGGCGGUCGCGGGUUCGAGCCCUGCAGCCGGCG
This 73-nucleotide transfer RNA is filed under the name invertebrate metagenome. RNAcentral describes it as "tRNA-Thr-TGT". It matches the Rfam family "tRNA". Rfam says of the family: Transfer RNA (tRNA) molecules are approximately 80 nucleotides in length. Their secondary structure includes four short double-helical elements and three loops (D, anti-codon, and T loops). Further hydrogen bonds mediate the characteristic L-shaped molecular structure. tRNAs have two regions of fundamental functional importance: the anti-codon, which is responsible for specific mRNA codon recognition, and the 3' end, to which the tRNAs corresponding amino acid is attached (by aminoacyl-tRNA synthetases). tRNAs cope with the degeneracy of the genetic code in two manners: having more than one tRNA (with a specific anti-codon) for a particular amino acid; and 'wobble' base-pairing, i.e. permitting non-standard base-pairing at the 3rd anti-codon position. The record is from RNAcentral.